Dermochelys coriacea (leatherback sea turtle) is the source of this 775-nucleotide long non-coding RNA. RefSeq lists it as uncharacterized. The transcript has 3 exons. The record is from RefSeq and is a predicted model, not a curated record. Lineage: Eukaryota; Metazoa; Chordata; Testudines; Dermochelyidae.
GAGCGGGGACGGGGACGGGGACCUGCUUGGAAGAAAGUCACCGGCGUUGGCCCAGAACUGCUGCCGCGAGAGUCCGGGGGAAGCGGGGAGCAAAGACAGCCUGGCCAGUUGGGUCCUUCACUGCUCCCUCCAGCUGUGCUAACUGGCCUCCCAGUGCUGAAGUCUCCGCUUCCCCACUCACAGCCGGAGCUGGGCAAGCUGCCGGGGCCCCUGAUGGGCAUCGUCCCGUUUCUGGUGUGCCAGAGGUCUGCGAGGAGACGUGGCUCUUCCUGCAUUUUCCCCUAGUCCCUUAGGCUGUCCGGCCCCUCUCUGGCCAGGGGCAUAGACCCUGCCUCUGUCCCCGGUCUGGGCUCGACGGGCGGAUUCUGCUCUCACCGCUCCUCCACUGGCUUCAAAGCAGCAAGUUCUGAACUGGACUAGCACAAGAGGAGCAACAGGUGCCGGGGCCUGGAUCUGACUCCUCUUCUUGAAUACGUUGUAUUGAGUGUGCCAUUUAAUUUCUCAAAUUCUGACGGGUUGGGUGUCCUCACUGUGAGACCUGAGCCCCGGACACCUGGAUGAGUGUUGCUCCACAUAGCAAAGUUGGUUUGGCUUCACUACAUCGCUCACGGCUGUGAAAAAUGUGGCACCCUGGAGAUGUAAUUAAAAAGACCUAACCCCCGGUGUAGACACCUAAGUAAAUGGGAGAAUCCUUCCCUUAGCCUAGCUACGCUUCUCGGGGCUCGUCCGCACUUGAAACACGAAGUGGCAUAACUGUGCAGCUGUAGUGCUUCGG